Molecule: ribosomal RNA, 253 nt
Filed under: uncultured bacterium
Lineage: Bacteria
Description: partial 16S ribosomal RNA
Rfam family: Bacterial small subunit ribosomal RNA
Source: RNAcentral
UACAGAGGGUGCGCGCGUUAAUCGGAAUUACUGGGCGUAAAGCGUGCGUAGGCGGUCGUGUAAGUCGGGUGUGAAAGCCCCGGGCUCAACCUGGGAAUUGCAUUCGAGACUGCACGGCUGGAGUGCGGAAGAGGGAAGCGGAAUUUCCGGUGUAGCGGUGAAAUGCGUAGAUAUCGGAAGGAACAUCAGUGGCGAAAGCGGCUUCCUGGUCCAGCACUGACGAUCAGGCACGAAAGAGUGGGGAGCAAACAGG